UCGGGGGUACUCGAGUGGCGAACGGGUGAGUAACACGUGGGCAAUCUGCCCUGCACUUCGGGAUAAGCCUGGGAAACUGGGUCUAGGAUAUACCGGAUAGGACCUUUAGGCGCAUGUCUUUAGGUGGAAAGCUUUUGCGGUGUGGGAUGGGCCCGCGGCCUAUCAGCUUGUUGGUGGGGUGAUGGCCUACCAAGGCGACGACGGGUAGCCGGCCUGAGAGGGUGUCCGGCCACACUGGGACUGAGAUACGGCCCAGACUCCUACGGGAGGCAGCAGUGGGGAAUAUUGCACAAUGGGCGCAAGCCUGAUGCAGCGACGCCGCGUGGGGGAUGACGGCCUUCGGGUUGUAAACCUCUUUCACCAUCGACGAAGGUUCGGGUUUUCUCGGAUUGACGGUAGGUGGAGAAGAAGCACCGGCCAACUACGUGCCAGCAGCCGCGGUAAUACGUAGGGUGCGAGCGUUGUCCGGAAUUACUGGGCGUAAAGAGCUCGUAGGUGGUUUGUCGCGUUGUUCGUGAAAUCUCACGGCUUAACUGUGAGCGUGCGGGCGAUACGGGCAGACUAGAGUACUGCAGGGGAGACUGGAAUUCCUGGUGUAGCGGUGGAAUGCGCAGAUAUCAGGAGGAACACCGGUGGCGAAGGCGGGUCUCUGGGCAGUAACUGACGCUGAGGAGCGAAAGCGUGGGGAGCGAACAGGAUUAGAUACCCUGGUAGUCCACGCCGUAAACGGUGGGUACUAGGUGUGGGUUUCCUUCCUUGGGAUCCGUGCCGUAGCUAACGCAUUAAGUACCCCGCCUGGGGAGUACGGCCGCAAGGCUAAAACUCAAAGGAAUUGACGGGGGCCCGCACAAGCGGCGGAGCAUGUGGAUUAAUUCGAUGCAACGCGAAGAACCUUACCUGGGUUUGACAUGCACAGGACGCGUCUAGAGAUAGGCGUUCCCUUGUGGCCUGUGUGCAGGUGGUGCAUGGCUGUCGUCAGCUCGUGUCGUGAGAUGUUGGGUUAAGUCCCGCAACGAGCGCAACCCUUGUCUCAUGUUGCCAGCGGGUAAUGCCGGGGACUCGUGAGAGACUGCCGGGGUCAACUCGGAGGAAGGUGGGGAUGACGUCAAGUCAUCAUGCCCCUUAUGUCCAGGGCUUCACACAUGCUACAAUGGCCGGUACAAAGGGCUGCGAUGCCGCAAGGUUAAGCGAAUCCUUUUAAAGCCGGUCUCAGUUCGGAUUGGGGUCUGCAACUCGACCCCAUGAAGUCGGAGUCGCUAGUAAUCGCAGAUCAGCAACGCUGCGGUGAAUACGUUCCCGGGCCUUGUACACACCGCCCGUCACGUCAUGAAAGUCGGUAACACCCGAAGCC
This 1351-nucleotide ribosomal RNA is filed under the name Mycobacterium sp. DWMJ-1921B1. RNAcentral describes it as "bacterial SSU rRNA". It matches the Rfam family "Bacterial small subunit ribosomal RNA", at positions 80 to 1428 of the family's 1533-position model. Lineage: Bacteria; Bacillati; Actinomycetota; Actinomycetes; Mycobacteriales; Mycobacteriaceae. The record is from RNAcentral.